UGGGGAAUAUUGCACAAUGGGGGAAACCCUGAUGCAGCGACGCCGCGUGAGCGAAGAAGGCCUUCGGGUCGUAAAGCUCUUUUAUGAGGGAAGAUAAUGACGGUACCUCAAGAAAAAGCACCGGCUAACUACGUGCCAGCAGCCGCGGUAAUACGUAGGGUGCGAGCGUUGUCCGGAAUUACUGGGCGUAAAGAGCUCGUAGGCGGUUUGUCACGUCGUCUGUGAAAUCCUAGGGCUUAACCCUGGACGUGCAGGCGAUACGGGCUGACUUGAGUACUACAGGGGAGACUGGAAUUUCUGGUGUAGCGGUGGAAUGCACAGAUAUCAGGAAGAACACCGAUGGCGAAGGCAGGUCUCUGGGUAGUAACUGACGCUGAGGAGCGAAAGCAUGGGUAGCGAACAGG
RNAcentral lists this ribosomal RNA (404 nucleotides) under Verrucomicrobiota bacterium. RNAcentral describes it as "Verrucomicrobia bacterium partial 16S ribosomal RNA". It matches the Rfam family "Bacterial small subunit ribosomal RNA", at positions 355 to 776 of the family's 1533-position model. Lineage: Bacteria; Pseudomonadati; Verrucomicrobiota. The record is from RNAcentral.